GAUCCUGGCUCAGGAUGAACGCUGGCGGCGUGCUUAACACAUGCAAGUCGAACGAAGCACUUUACCACGAUUCCUUCGGGAUGACGGUUUAGUGACUGAGUGGCGGACGGGUGAGUAACGCGUGGGGAACCUGCCCCAUACCGGGGGAUAACAGCCGGAAACGGCUGCUAAUACCGCAUAAGCGCACAGUACCGCAUGGUAUGGUGUGAAAAACUCCGGUGGUAUGGGAUGGACCCGCGUCUGAUUAGCCAGG
This 253-nucleotide ribosomal RNA is filed under the name uncultured bacterium. Its description in RNAcentral is "partial 16S ribosomal RNA". It matches the Rfam family "Bacterial small subunit ribosomal RNA", at positions 15 to 249 of the family's 1533-position model. The record is from RNAcentral.